AACGCGAAGAACCUUACCAGGGCUUGACAUGCUGUUGCACCGGGUAGAGAUACUCGUGCCCGCAAGGGACAGCAGCACAGGUGCUGCAUGGCUGUCGUCAGCUCGUGCCGUGAGGUGUUGGGUUAAGUCCCCCAACGAGCGCAACCCCUAUCGUUGGUUGUAUUUUCCAGCGAAACUGCCCGCAAGGGAGGAAGGAGGGGAUGACGUCAAGUCAGCACGGCCCUUACGUCCUGGGCUACACACACGCUACAAUGGCUGGUACAAUGGGUCGCCAACCCGCAAGGGGGAGCCAAUCCCAGCAAAGCCGGCCUCAGUUCAGAUUGGUGGCUGAAACCCGCGCCAUGAAGGUGGAGUUGCUAGUAACCGCAGGUCAGCACACUGCGGUGAAUACGUUCCCGGGCCUUGUACACACCGCUCGUC
RNAcentral lists this ribosomal RNA (420 nucleotides) under uncultured bacterium. RNAcentral describes it as "bacterial SSU rRNA". It matches the Rfam family "Bacterial small subunit ribosomal RNA", at positions 958 to 1398 of the family's 1533-position model. The record is from RNAcentral.